UGCCAGCAGCCGCGGUAAUACGGAGGGUGCAAGCGUUGUUCGGAAUUACUGGGCGUAAAGCGCGCGUAGGCGGUUUGUUAAGUCAGAUGUGAAAGUCCACGGCUCAACCAUGGAAGUGCAUUUGAAACUGGCAGACUUGAGUAUUGGAGGGGGCAGUGGAAUUCCCGGUGUAGAGGUGAAAUUCGUAGAUAUCGGGAGGAAUACCAGUGGCGAAGGCGACUGUCUGGCCAAAUACUGACGCUGAGGUGCGAAAGCGUGGGGAGCAAACAGGAUUAGAUA
This 279-nucleotide ribosomal RNA is filed under the name uncultured bacterium. RNAcentral's name for it is "partial 16S ribosomal RNA". It matches the Rfam family "Bacterial small subunit ribosomal RNA", at positions 506 to 784 of the family's 1533-position model. The record is from RNAcentral.